GUGCUAAGGUAGCAUAAUCAUUUGUCUUUUAAAUGAAGACUAGAACAAAAGAUUUUACAUUUUAAUAUAUUUCUUAUAAUUAAAAAUUAAAAUUAUUCUUAAUGUUAAAAAACAUUAAUUUUUAAGAAAGACGACAAGACCCUAAUGAACUUAACUUAAGUUAAACUGGGGCAGUAAAUUAAGUAUUAUUUUAAUUUAAAUAAUAUUUUUAAUAUCCAAUAUUAUUGAUAUACAAGUUACCAUAGGGAUAACAGCGUAAUAUAAUUUUAAAGUUCAUAUAAAAAUUUAAUUUUACGACCUCGAUGUUGAAUUAAUUACCUAAUUAAAGCAAAAAUUAAAUAAGGAAGUCUGUUCGACUUUUAAAUAAUUACAUGAUUUGAGUUCAGACCGGUAUAAGCCAGGUCGGUUUCUAUCUUCUUAUAAUUUAAUACAGUACGAAAGGACCUAUUAAUUUAAUAUUAUUAUAAUAUUGGCAGAAUAUUGCAUUAGAAUUAGAAUCUAAUAAAUCAAAA
Molecule: ribosomal RNA, 512 nt
Filed under: Cocalodes longicornis
Lineage: Eukaryota; Metazoa; Arthropoda; Arachnida; Araneae; Salticidae
Description: partial 16S ribosomal RNA
Rfam family: Bacterial large subunit ribosomal RNA (bases 125-418)
Source: RNAcentral